GGAAUUCCUUGUGGAGGUUUAGAAGAGCUUUUAGCAUAUGCUUGAAUGGAUCUUGGAUAACAUUGAUAUAUUUAGAUUGUCUCUUUGACUUUACAUAUCAUGUUAUCCAAGAAGCGAAGGACGAGUUUUCAUUUCAUAGUUUGUGUUUAAUUGAUGCCGCUUCGUUGUGGGAUUUGUUUGCUGUUAUGUUGAUGGUUAUUAUUAGUACGUACCCAUGUAAGGAGAUCUUCAAGUUGGCUGCUGCUAUAUUUAAUUAUUAAUGAAGCAG
RNAcentral lists this unclassified non-coding RNA (268 nucleotides) under Hevea brasiliensis (rubber tree). Lineage: Eukaryota; Viridiplantae; Streptophyta; Magnoliopsida; Malpighiales; Euphorbiaceae. The record is from RNAcentral.